AAACAGAAAUGAUUUAAUAAGUUAAUAAAAGUAUUUUUCAAAACAUGAUAUAACAACAUAAUAUGUUUGUGUAUGUAUAUAUACAUGUGUGUGUAUAUUGCCAUUUAGUACAAAGCAAAUCUCUGCAUAGCUGUAACACCCAAAUUUAUUUCAUCCACAUACCUUGUAUGUUUUACUUAUAACUAGUUCAUUCACCUUCAUUUUUAAGGUCAUCAGAAAAGAUCGGUGACAAUUGCAUAUAGUGUUUCAGUGGCUUAAAAGUGUUUAGGUAAUUAUCAAAUAAACAACAUAAAGUAUACAAAUUGAAAAUUGUCUAAUGCAAACAGAAAUAUGUCCUAGACAGAGUGAUUUCUGCAAUCCCCUAAUUUGUAGAGGAAGAUUUUUAGAAAUAUUUCUGUUCAAGGCUUUCCAGAAUGCUAAUGCAAGUAGUGCUCGAUUUACAUAUGUUUAUUUAGUGACCAUUCAAAAUUAAAAAUGGCACUGAAAAAAGUGAUUUACACAACAAGAAAUUAGUUUGCCAUUCAUAUACUUCACAUAUGAAUUGUACCAAAGUUUCAAAACUUUUUUUAAUUGUGCCAGAAAUUCAAAAAGCACAUUUUUAAAUUUAGCAGUGGUUAAGUACAUUUUCAAAUUAUAUGAUUGAAUGAAGGUAAGGCCACACAUAUGAUUAGAUCCUCCAAAUUUUGGGAAAUCUGUAAAGACAGACUAGGAAAGCUUUUUUUUCAAGUUGCUUAUUCCCUCAUAAGAAAUCUUUACUAGAAGGGAAACAUAUGCCAGGACCUUCAAAAUUCUUAUGGUCUGUAGACCUGCAAGUUAUUAUUCAACAAUAGAUAUCUUGCUUAUCAUUACCAUUGCAGAUUCUUUCUACGCAGUUUUAAAUUUUUCAGA
This is a non-coding RNA of Notechis scutatus (mainland tiger snake), 888 nucleotides long. The record is from RefSeq and is a predicted model, not a curated record. NCBI's taxonomy places the organism in Eukaryota, Metazoa, Chordata, Lepidosauria, Squamata, Elapidae.